Molecule: ribosomal RNA, 397 nt
Filed under: uncultured bacterium
Lineage: Bacteria
Description: partial 16S ribosomal RNA
Rfam family: Bacterial small subunit ribosomal RNA
Source: RNAcentral
CCUACGGGAGGCAGCAGUGAGGAAUAUUGGUCAAUGGGCGCGAGCCUGAACCAGCCAAGUCGCGUGAAGGAUGACGGUCCUACGGGUUGUAAACUUCUUUUAUAAAGGAAUAAAGUGAGCCACGCGUGCCGUUCCGAAUGUACUCUAUGAAUAAGGAUCGGCUAACUCCGUGCCAGCAGCCGCGGUAAUACGGAGGAUGCGAGCGUUAUCCGGAUUUAUUGGGUUUAAAGGGGGCGUAGAUGGGUUGUUAAGUCAGUUGUGAAAGUUUGCGGCUCAAACGGGAAAUUGCAAUUGAUACUGGCAGUCUUGAGUACAGUUGAAGUAGGCGGAAUUCGUGGUGUAGCGGUGAAAUGCUUAGAUAUCACGAAGAACUCCGAUUGCGAAGGCAGCAUACUAA